GCCGGGGUGGCAGAGAGGCACUGCGGUGGACUCGAGAUCCACUGCCCGAAAGGGCACCUGGGUUCAAGUCCCAGCCCCGGCG
This 82-nucleotide transfer RNA is filed under the name Archaeoglobus sulfaticallidus PM70-1. Its description in RNAcentral is "tRNA-Ser (CGA) (tRNA-Ser-CGA-1-1)". It matches the Rfam family "tRNA". From Rfam's summary of the family: Transfer RNA (tRNA) molecules are approximately 80 nucleotides in length. Lineage: Archaea; Methanobacteriati; Methanobacteriota; Archaeoglobi; Archaeoglobales; Archaeoglobaceae. The record is from RNAcentral.